This 1337-nucleotide ribosomal RNA is filed under the name uncultured bacterium. RNAcentral's name for it is "bacterial SSU rRNA". It matches the Rfam family "Bacterial small subunit ribosomal RNA", at positions 28 to 1381 of the family's 1533-position model. The record is from RNAcentral.
GACGAACGCUGGCGGCGUGCUUAACACAUGCAAGUCGAACGGAAAGGCCCUUCGGGGUACUCGAGUGGCGAACGGGUGAGUAACACGUGGGUGAUCUGCCCUGCACUUUGGGAUAAGCCUGGGAAACUGGGUCUAAUACCGAAUAGGACCACGCGCUUCAUGGUGUGUGGUGGAAAGCUUUUGCGGUGUGGGAUGGGCCCGCGGCCUAUCAGCUUGUUGGUGGGGUAAUGGCCUACCAAGGCGACGACGGGUAGCCGGCCUGAGAGGGUGACCGGCCACACUGGGACUGAGAUACGGCCCAGACUCCUACGGGAGGCAGCAGUGGGGAAUAUUGCACAAUGGGCGCAAGCCUGAUGCAGCGACGCCGCGUGAGGGAUGACGGCCUUCGGGUUGUAAACCUCUUUCAAUAGGGACGAAGCGCAAGUGACGGUACCUAUAGAAGAAGCACCGGCCAACUACGUGCCAGCAGCCGCGGUAAUAUGUAGGGUGCGAGCGUUGUCCGGAAUUACUGGGCGUAAAGAGCUCGUAGGUGGUUUGUCGCGUUGUUCGUGAAAACUCACAGCUUAACUGUGGGCGUGCGGGCGAUACGGGCAGACUAGAGUACUGCAGGGGAGACUGGAAUUCCUGGUGUAGCGGUGGAAUGCGCAGAUAUCAGGAGGAACACCGGUGGCGAAGGCGGGUCUCUGGGCAGUAACUGACGCUGAGGAGCGAAAGCGUGGGGAGCGAACAGGAUUAGAUACCCUGGUAGUCCACGCCGUAAACGGUGGGUACUAGGUGUGGGUUCCUUCCUUGGGAUCCGUGCCGUAGCUAACGCAUUAAGUACCCCGCCUGGGGAGUACGGCCGCAAGGCUAAAACUCAAAGGAAUUGACGGGGGCCCGCACAAGCGGCGGAGCAUGUGGAUUAAUUCGAUGCAACGCGAAGAACCUUACCUGGGUUUGACAUGCACAGGACGCCGGCAGAGAUGUCGGUUCCCUUGUGGCCUGUGUGCAGGUGGUGCAUGGCUGUCGUCAGCUCGUGUCGUGAGAUGUUGGGUUAAGUCCCGCAACGAGCGCAACCCUUGUCCUAUGUUGCCAGCGGGUUAUGCCGGGGACUCGUAGGAGACUGCCGGGGUCAACUCGGAGGAAGGUGGGGAUGACGUCAAGUCAUCAUGCCCCUUAUGUCCAGGGCUUCACACAUGCUACAAUGGCCGGUACAAAGGGCUGCGAUGCCGUGAGGUGGAGCGAAUCCUUUCAAAGCCGGUCUCAGUUCGGAUCGGGGUCUGCAACUCGACCCCGUGAAGUCGGAGUCGCUAGUAAUCGCAGAUCAGCAACGCUGCGGUGAAUACGUUCCCGGGCCU